Molecule: unclassified non-coding RNA, 293 nt
Filed under: uncultured bacterium
Lineage: Bacteria
Description: partial contains 16S ribosomal RNA and 16S-23S ribosomal RNA intergenic spacer region
Source: RNAcentral
AGCAGUGGGAAUACCUACGGGAGGCAGCAGUGGGACCCACUCCUACGGGAGGCAUCCCUGGGACUCCUACGGGAGGCAGCAGUGGGACAGUUGGCUCAGAACGAACGCUGGCGGCCCACUCCUACGGGAGGCAGCAGUGGGACUCCUACGGGAGGCAGCAGUGGGACUCCUACGGGAGGCAGCAGUGGGACCCACUCCUACGGGAGGCAGCAGUGGGACUCCUACGGAAGGCAGCAGUGGGACAGUUGGCUCAGAACGAAUGCUGGCGGCUGGCUCAGAACGAACGCUGGCGG